CCUACGGGAGGCAGCAGUGAGGAAUAUUGGUCAAUGGACGAGAGUCUGAACCAGCCAAGUAGCGUGAAGGAUGACUGCCCUAUGGGUUGUAAACUUCUUUUAUAUGGGAAUAAAAUGUUCCACGUGUGGGAUUUUGUAUGUACCAUAUGAAUAAGGAUCGGCUAACUCCGUGCCAGCAGCCGCGGUAAUACGGAGGAUCCGAGCGUUAUCCGGAUUUAUUGGGUUUAAGGGGAGCGUAGGUUGAUUGUUAAGUCAGUUGUGAAAGUUUGCGGCUCAACCGUAAAAUUGCAGUUGAAACUGGCAGUCUUGAGUACAGUAGAGGUGGGCGGAAUGCGUGGUGUAGCGGUGAAAUGCUUAGAUAUCACGAAGAACUCCGAUUGCGAAGGCAGUUCACUGGACUGCAACUGACACUGAGGCUCGAAAGUGUGGGUAUCAAACAGGAUUAGAUACCCCAGUAGUC
RNAcentral lists this ribosomal RNA (460 nucleotides) under uncultured bacterium. RNAcentral's name for it is "partial 16S ribosomal RNA". It matches the Rfam family "Bacterial small subunit ribosomal RNA", at positions 338 to 795 of the family's 1533-position model. The record is from RNAcentral.